This 497-nucleotide ribosomal RNA is filed under the name uncultured bacterium. Its description in RNAcentral is "partial 16S ribosomal RNA". It matches the Rfam family "Bacterial small subunit ribosomal RNA", at positions 28 to 507 of the family's 1533-position model. The record is from RNAcentral.
GAUGAACGCUGGCGGCGUGCCUAAUACAUGCAAGUCGAGCGAACAGAUGAGGAGCUUGCUCCUCUGACGUUAGCGGCGGACGGGUGAGUAACACGUGGAUAACCUACCUAUAAGACUGGGAUAACUUCGGGAAACCGGAGCUAAUACCGGAUAAUAUAUUGAACCGCAUGGUGCAAUAGUGAAAGACGGUUUUGCUGUCACUUAUAGAUGGAUCCGCGCCGCAUUAGCUAGUUGGUAAGGUAACGGCUUACCAAGGCAACGAUGCGUAGCCGACCUGAGAGGGUGAUCGGCCACACUGGAACUGAGACACGGUCCAGAGUCCUACGGGAGGCAGCAGUAGGGAAUCUUCCGCAAUGGGCGAAAGCCUGACGGAGCAACGCCGCGUGAGUGAUGAAGGUCUUCGGAUCGUAAAGCUCUGUUAUUAGGGAAGAACAAAUGUGUAAGUAACUAUGCACGUCUUGACGGUACCUAAUCAGAAAGCCACGGCUAACUACGUG